This 619-nucleotide ribosomal RNA is filed under the name Scedosporium boydii. RNAcentral's name for it is "eukaryotic LSU rRNA". The stretch from base 203 to 356 matches the Rfam family "5.8S ribosomal RNA". Lineage: Eukaryota; Fungi; Ascomycota; Sordariomycetes; Microascales; Microascaceae. The record is from RNAcentral.
UUUCCGUAGGGGGGACCUGCGGAGGGAUCAUUACAGAGUUACUACUCCAAAACCCAUUGUGAACCUUACCUAUGUUCUGUUGCCUCGGCGGCGUGGUCAGCGCCCCCUCUGAAAAGAGGACGAUGCCCUCCCGCCGGCAGCACCAAACUCUUGAAUUUUACAGCGGAUUACAGUUCUGAUUUGAAAAGAAAAAACAAGUUAAAACUUUCAACAACGGAUCUCUUGGUUCUGGCAUCGAUGAAGAACGCAGCGAAAUGCGAUAAGUAAUGUGAAUUGCAGAAUUCAGUGAAUCAUCGAAUCUUUGAACGCACAUUGCGCCCGGCAGUAAUCUGCCGGGCAUGCCUGUCCGAGCGUCAUUUCAACCCUCGAACCUCCGUUUCCUCAGGGAAGCUCAGGGUCGGUGUUGGGGCGCUACGGCGAGUCUUCGCGACCCUCCGUAGGCCCUGAAAUACAGUGGCGGUCCCGCCGCGGUUGCCUUCUGCGUAGUAAGUCUCUUUUGCAAGCUCGCAUUGGGUCCCGGCGGAGGCCUGCCGUCAAACCACCUAUAACUCCAGAUGGUUUGACCUCGGAUCAGGUAGGGUUACCCGCUGAACUUAAGCAUAUCAAAAGCCGGGAGGAA